Molecule: ribosomal RNA, 253 nt
Filed under: uncultured prokaryote
Description: partial 16S ribosomal RNA
Rfam family: Bacterial small subunit ribosomal RNA
Source: RNAcentral
UACGGAGGGUGCGAGCGUUAAUCGGAAUUACUGGGCGUAAAGGGUGCGUAGGUGGUUUGAUAAGUUAUCUGUGAAAUUCCUGGGCUUAACCUGGGGUGGUCAGAUGAGACUGUUGGACUCGAGUAUGGGAGAGGGUAGUGGAAUUUCCGGUGUAGCGGUGAAAUGCGUAGAGAUCGGAAGGAACACCAGUGGCGAAGGCGGCUACCUGGCCUAAUACUGACACUGAGGCACGAAAGCGUGGGGAGCAAACAGG